RNAcentral lists this ribosomal RNA (301 nucleotides) under uncultured bacterium. Its description in RNAcentral is "partial 16S ribosomal RNA". It matches the Rfam family "Bacterial small subunit ribosomal RNA", at positions 509 to 807 of the family's 1533-position model. The record is from RNAcentral.
CAGUAGCCGCGGGAAUACGAGGGUGGCAAGCGUUGUUCGGAAUUACUGGGCGUAAAGGGCGCGUAGGCGGCCAUUCAAGUUAGAUGUGAAAGCCCUGGGCUCAACCUAGGAAUUGCAUUUGAUACUGUUUGGCUUGAGUUCGGGAGAGGUGAGUGGAAUUCCCAGCGUAGAGGUGAAAUUCGUAGAUAUUGGGAAGAACACCAGUGGCGAAGGCGGCUCACUGGACCGACACUGACGCUGAGGCGCGAAAGCGUGGGGAGCAAACAGGAUUAGAUACCCGGGUAGUCCCUGUCUCUUAUAC